GUAGGUGGCAAGCGUUGUCCGGAAUUAUUGGGCGUAAAGCGCGCGCAGGCGGUUCUUUAAGUCUGAUGUGAAAGCCCACGGCUCAACCGUGGAGGGUCAUUGGAAACUGGAGAACUUGAGUACAGAAGAGGGAAGCGGAAUUCCACGUGUAGCGGUGAAAUGCGUAGAGAUGUGGAGGAACACCAGUGGCGAAGGCGGCUUUCUGGUCUGUAACUGACGCUGAGGCGCGAAAGCGUGGGGAGCAAACAGGAUUAGAUACCCUGGUAGUCCACGCCGUAAACGAUGAGUGCUAAGUGUUAGGGGGUUUCCGCCCCCCUUAGUGCUGCAGCUAACGCAUUAAGCACUCCGCCGGGGGAUACGGCCGCAAGGCUG
RNAcentral lists this ribosomal RNA (372 nucleotides) under uncultured organism. RNAcentral's name for it is "partial 16S ribosomal RNA". It matches the Rfam family "Bacterial small subunit ribosomal RNA", at positions 527 to 896 of the family's 1533-position model. The record is from RNAcentral.